Molecule: small RNA, 29 nt
Filed under: Bombyx mori (domestic silkworm)
Lineage: Eukaryota; Metazoa; Arthropoda; Insecta; Lepidoptera; Bombycidae
Description: ovarian small RNA-20228
Source: RNAcentral
UACACUGAGUAUUAUAACGUAACAUUUAC